RNAcentral lists this ribosomal RNA (451 nucleotides) under uncultured soil bacterium. RNAcentral's name for it is "bacterial SSU rRNA". It matches the Rfam family "Bacterial small subunit ribosomal RNA", at positions 26 to 479 of the family's 1533-position model. The record is from RNAcentral.
AGGGCGAACGCUGGCGGCGUGCUUAACACAUGCAAGUCGAACGAUGAAGGAGGAGCUUGCUCCUCCGGAUUAGUGGCGAACGGGUGAGUAAUACGUGAGCAAUGUGCCCUUGACUCUGGGAUAAGCGCUGGAAACGGCGUCUAAUACCGGAUACGACCCUCGGAGGCAUCUCCUGUGGGUGGAAAGACUUCGGUCAAGGAUCAGCUCACGGCCUAUCAGCUAGUUGGUGAGGUAACGGCUCACCAAGGCGACGACGGGUAGCCGGCCUGAGAGGGUGACCGGCCACACUGGGACUGGAGACCACGGCCCAGACUCCGUACGGGAGCAGCAGGUGGGGAAUAUUGCACAAGUGGGCGCAAGCCUGAUGCAGCAACGCCGCGUGAGGGACGACGGUCCGUUCGGGUACUAAACCGUCGUUUAGCGAGGAACGAAGCGAAGAGUAGACGGUACU